Molecule: long non-coding RNA, 2670 nt
Organism: Pan troglodytes (chimpanzee)
Lineage: Eukaryota; Metazoa; Chordata; Mammalia; Primates; Hominidae
Exons: 3
Source: RefSeq, a predicted model, not a curated record
UUCCUCAUUCUCACAGCCUUGGUUAUUGUCUCCACCAACUCGGUUCAUUGACCUACAAAUGCCAGCUUCUCUUGAAUGUUUUCCAUCUCUUUCCCAGACCAUCCACAGUUGGCAGCCAAGCUUUGCAAGUUUUAUUUCUGAAAUGCUUCUCAACUUCUUUCUAGGUACAGAAGACCACCUGCACCAUCUCUUGCUGGGUGAGAGCCACUCUCUGCAGACGUAGUCACAGCUGGUAUUUCACCAGCAGAUGCCAUGAUUCAAUUCCACCAUAAUGACAUUGGGUAGUCUUUGUCAACUCUCCUGCUUGUCAGAAGGAUGUAAAAACACUUCAGAAACAUACUGGAAAUCUUCAUGAGUAGUGUUCAGAGAUGGCUACUCAAGGUCAUGGUUACCCUCAUACACAGAUUCUGAAGGCUACUCUUGGCUACAAUUCAGGUGACCAGUUAAUCCUGACAGAAGCUCCCAACCCUCUGUAAUUCAGCCCUGUCAUCCUUGUGACGUGGAUUACCUUUCUGGCUACAAAUUGAAUCAUGAUGGCUUAUCACAGUGUUGUUCUGCAAGCCUGGAAGGUAUCCUCUGAACAGACAGCAUGCCAACCCAUGUCACCCUUGCCUUCUUCCCCCACCUCUCAUUAUGGUAUUGCACAGAGAUUGGACUGGAAGUCAGACAGAUGUGGGCUGAAGCCCUGGCUCCCCUAACUGUGGAAUGGUGCUGUUUUCUCAGUCUCUCUGGUCCUCAACUUCUCUUUAUAAAAUCGGUGGACAGUGGGAGCAUAUAAUAAUCUCAAGUACUUAAAAAAGUUUUAACUUCUUCUAAGCUCCUAGUAAUUGCUUUUAUUUCUCUUACAACAUUUUAAUUUUUAUCAAAAUAACACAUGUAUGGAAUUCAAAAUGGAAACAAAACUAAAAAAGCAAAAAGACUUUUUCCAUUCCACUUUUCCCAAUGCCAAUGAUAGACUGUGAUCAAUCUUCAGAAAAUCUCAAAUUAGACUGUAACUUGGAUAGCAAACAAUGAAGAAGCUUAAAAGAAAGAGAAAAGAAAAAAUAUAAGGUAAGGUGGUAAUAUAAGAAAUGUAUAUAGGAAGUAAUUUAACUCAAAAUAUAUUCCACUACUCAGAAGCAGAUAAUAUACAUUUUAUCCUAGAAAUGUAACAUAGGAUAUUGCUCUAAUCCAAAACUACCCUGGGAAAAUGAAAGGAGGUGGUGAGUAUGUGUGUGUUCAACAAUGGUAUCCUCAUUUUGCAUAGCAGCAAGUCAAUAGACAAUUCUUAAAACUGAAAAACAGGGCCAGGCACAGUGGUUCAUGCCUGUAAUCCAAGCACUUUGGGAAGCUGAGGUGGGUGGAUCACCUGAGGUGAGGAGUUCGAGACCAGCCUGACCAACAUGGCAAAACCCUGUCUCUACUAAACAUACAAACAUUAAUUGGGCAUGGUGGCAGGUGCCGGUAAUCUCAGCUACUCGGGAGGCUGAGGCAGGAGAAUUGCUUGAACCCAGGAGGCGGAGGUUGCAGUGAGCCGAGAUCAUUCCAUUGCACUCCAGCCUGAGCGACAGAGAGAGACUGCAUCUCAAAAAUCAAAACAAAACAAAAAUCUGAAAAACAAGAAAUUAUGACAUAACCCAAUUGUUUUAGAAAUACAGGUGGACAUCAUACUCAGGAGAAAAAUGAUUAAAGUGAUCGUCCCUAGCAAACUAAUGUAACCACAAAUAAAAAAGUAAAAUUACGUACUUUUUCAAAGCUGUUUAUCACAUUACAGCAGCUGUGCCCAACUGGUCUCCUCUUUUCUCUCAAAGUCUUUAUGUUUUUGUGUCUUUGCUGAAUUGUUUAAUUCUUUGCUGACACUCUCUAGUUUUUGUUUUGUUUUGUUUUGUUUUUUUGCUGUGUACAGUCAUUCCUCUGUAUCCAUGGGUGAUUGAUUGGUUCCAGGACCCCUCUUGAAUAUCAACAUAUGAGGAUGCUCAAGAUUCUGACAAAAAAAUGGUGUAGUAUUUGCAUAUAACUUAUGCACAUCUUCCUGUAUACUUUAAAUCAUCUCUAGGUUACUUAGAAUACCUAAUACAACGUAAAUACUUGUUAUACUAUACUGGUUUCUUAUUUGUAUUAUUUUUAUCGUAUUGCUGUUUAUUAUUUUUUAAUAUUUUUCAUCUGUGGUUGGUUGCUUGUUGGAGCAUUUUCAAUUCACCUGCCUUAAAAUCUUUGUUAGAUAAUUUUAACAUUUGGUUCACCUUAAAGUUGGUAUAUAUUGAUUAUCUUUUUUUCAUUCAGGUUGAGAUAUCCAAAUUUCCUUUUUGUAUGGGGACCCAAGUCAUAUAAGAUGAUGGGCCCAACCUACUCCAGUAUUCUCAUACAGUCACAUUGUGAAGUUCUGAGGAUCAAGACUGCAACACAGAAAUCUGGAAGGAGGAACACAAUUCAAUUCCUAACAGCAGUAUAAAUGAAUCCCCUCUUUAGUAUGAUUUUUAGACUUUAUAGGAAACAUUCUCAUUAUUUCUCAGUUAUUUUUGGCAUAAUGAAUGAAGUUUCUUCUGAAUGUGGCAAGAAGUGUGAACCACUUGGCUGCUCAAGCACAAAUGGGGAUUUGCAGGGAGAAGCUGGAGCUGUGGUCUCCAUUUUCCUAAGAAUGGUGCCAAGAAUAAAAAGCAAUGAAGGGUUUGUGAUAAAAGAGUAAAUAGU